This 945-nucleotide long non-coding RNA is filed under the name Homo sapiens (human). RNAcentral's name for it is "HSALNT0218733". Lineage: Eukaryota; Metazoa; Chordata; Mammalia; Primates; Hominidae. The record is from RNAcentral.
UGAUCAGACAGUGGGGUAUUUCCGAAGGUCUAUGGGUGGAGGGGAUGUGGAGCACAGUCGUAUCUGAAAGCUCAGAAUGCAAACUUUCGCAACUAGAACCAUCUGGAGUGAGAGGGGUGGUGAUACAGAGCUGGGACAGAUUUCUCUGGGUGUUUCCUCCCCUACAGCAUGUUUUUUAGAAGUGAAAUCAGGUUACGAAGAGCACUAAGGCAGCUUUGAAGGGGAAGUCCUGAGAGAACAGGCUGCAGCUUCGGGGUAUAACAUCACUAUUGUAAAACCUCAGAUUGGUGCUCAAGAUAGUUUUCAGACCCUGCACUUGAUGGAUCAGCUGGCACUACUCAGAUCAACACACUGGCUCACCUGGUCUUGUGGCCCCCACCCAGGAAAUGACUCAGCACAAGAGGACAGCUUUGACUCCCUGUGAUUUCAUCUCAGACCCAACCAGUCAGCUCUCCCUACUACUUGGCCCCCUACCCACCAAAUUAUCCUUAAAAAACCCCAGCCUCUAAAUUUUGGGGGUGACUGUUUUGAGUAAUAAUAAAACUCUGGUAUCCCAUUGAGCCAGCUCUGCAUGAAUUAGUUAACUGUUUCUCUCUUGCAGUUCCUCUGUCUUGAUAAAUCAGCCUGUCUGGGCAGUGGGCAAAAUGAACCCCCAACAGGAGGAUUUCAAAUGUAAAGAAGACACUUGGGCUGAGAUAUCCGGCUGAUCCGAACUCCAACAUGAAGCAUCCUUUCUGCUUUAGAUUGACCCCCAAAGAGUGAAGGACUAGGAAGCCAAAAGUGUCACACGGUCAAAAAUGCUUCCAUCUACUGGUGAAACUCAGGAAUACACUAACAUUUCCCUGCCUGAAAUGGUUAGUUGAGGACACAAAGCAACCCAAAGCGAGCGGAGCUUGGCCAUGGAGCUCAGAAAUUCAAAAUAGUCAGUUCUUGCUGAUGGUGAAG